Molecule: ribosomal RNA, 465 nt
Filed under: Vreelandella stevensii
Lineage: Bacteria; Pseudomonadati; Pseudomonadota; Gammaproteobacteria; Oceanospirillales; Halomonadaceae
Description: partial 16S ribosomal RNA
Rfam family: Bacterial small subunit ribosomal RNA
Source: RNAcentral
CCUACGGGGGGCAGCAGUGGGGAAUAUUGGACAAUGGGCGAAAGCCUGAUCCAGCCAUGCCGCGUGUGUGAAGAAGGCCUUCGGGUUGUAAAGCACUUUCAGUGGGGAAGAAAGCCUUGGGGCUAAUACCCUCGAGGAAGGACAUCACCCACAGAAGAAGCACCGGCUAACUCCGUGCCAGCAGCCGCGGUAAUACGGAGGGUGCGAGCGUUAAUCGGAAUUACUGGGCGUAAAGCGCGCGUAGGCGGUCUGAUAAGCCGGUUGUGAAAGCCCCGGGCUCAACCUGGGAACGGCAUCCGGGACUGUCAGGCUAGAGUGCAGGAGAGGGAGGUAGAAUUCCCGGUGUAGCGGUGAAAUGCGUAGAGAUCGGGAGGAAUACCAGUGGCGAAGGCGGCCUUCUGGACUGACACUGACGCUGAGGUGCGAAAGCGUGGGUAGCAAACAGGAUUAGAUACCCCGGUAGUC